This is a non-coding RNA of Arabidopsis thaliana (thale cress), 186 nucleotides long. The record is from RefSeq. NCBI's taxonomy places the organism in Eukaryota, Viridiplantae, Streptophyta, Magnoliopsida, Brassicales, Brassicaceae.
UAUGUCGCCAUGCAUCCUUUGAAGCAAAUCCUAUCAUCUGCUUAUUCCCUCUUUGUCCUACUAAGUUCCCUUCUUCAUCAAUGUAGUUGAUACAAUCACCAAACGUUUGGUUAUUCGGAUCGGUUUAAUCGGGUUUUCGGUUGAAAACUAUUCCAAAUUAACUGAUAUAGAUGUCGCGGUUCGGUU